UACGUAGGGGGCUAGCGUUGUCCGGAAUCAUUGGGCGUAAAGCGCGUGUAGGCGGCCCGGUAAGUCUGCUGUGAAAGUCCAGGGCUCAACCCUGGGAUGCCGGUGGAUGCUGUCGAGCUCGAGUCCGGAAGAGGCGAGUGGAAUUCCUGGUGUAGCGGUGAAAUGCGCAGAUAUCAGGAGGAACACCAAUGGCGAAGGCAGCUCGCUGGGACGGUACUGACGCUGAGACGCGAAAGCGUGGGGAGCAAACAGG
RNAcentral lists this ribosomal RNA (253 nucleotides) under uncultured bacterium. RNAcentral describes it as "partial 16S ribosomal RNA". It matches the Rfam family "Bacterial small subunit ribosomal RNA", at positions 524 to 776 of the family's 1533-position model. The record is from RNAcentral.